GACAGAAGAUGCAAGCGUUACUCGGAAUUACUGGGCGUAAAGGGUCCGCAUGUGUCCCACCACGUCUGGGGUAAAAGCACGUCGCUCAACGGCGUGUAUGUCCCGGAAACGAGUGGGAUUGAGCUAUCCAGAGGCAUCUGGAAUGCCGUGUGUAGGGGUAAAAUCCGUUGAUCCACGGUGGAACGCCAAAAGCGAAAGCAGGAUGCUGGGGAUGUGCUGACACUCAGGGACGAAAGCGUGGGGAGCAAACGGG
RNAcentral lists this ribosomal RNA (253 nucleotides) under uncultured bacterium. RNAcentral describes it as "partial 16S ribosomal RNA". It matches the Rfam family "Bacterial small subunit ribosomal RNA", at positions 524 to 776 of the family's 1533-position model. The record is from RNAcentral.